UACGGAGGUCCCAAGCGUUGUUCGGAAUCACUGGGCGUAAAGCGUGUGUAGGCGGCAGAGUAAGUCAGAUGUGAAAUCCCGGGGCUCAACCCCGGAACUGCAUCCGAUACUGCUUUGCUAGAGUAGCGGAGGGGCAUAUGGAAUUCACGGUGUAGCAGUGAAAUGCGUAGAUAUCGUGAGGAACACUAGAGGCGAAGGCGAUAUGCUGGACGCUUACUGACGCUCAAACACGAAGGCUAGGGUAGCGAAAGGG
RNAcentral lists this ribosomal RNA (253 nucleotides) under uncultured bacterium. RNAcentral's name for it is "partial 16S ribosomal RNA". It matches the Rfam family "Bacterial small subunit ribosomal RNA", at positions 524 to 776 of the family's 1533-position model. The record is from RNAcentral.